RNAcentral lists this ribosomal RNA (460 nucleotides) under uncultured bacterium. Its description in RNAcentral is "partial 16S ribosomal RNA". It matches the Rfam family "Bacterial small subunit ribosomal RNA", at positions 338 to 795 of the family's 1533-position model. The record is from RNAcentral.
CCUACGGGAGGCUGCAGUGAGGAAUAUUGGUCAAUGGACGAGAGUCUGAACCAGCCAAGUAGCGUGAAGGAUGACUGCCCUAUGGGUUGUAAACUUCUUUUAUAUGGGAAUAAAAUGUUCCACGUGUGGGAUUUUGUAUGUACCAUAUGAAUAAGGAUCGGCUAACUCCGUGCCAGCAGCCGCGGUAAUACGUAGGAUCCGAGCGUUAUCCGGAUUUCUUGGGUUUAAAGGGAGCGUAGGUGGUUUGUUAAGUCAGUUGUGAAAGUUUGCGGCUCAACCGUAAAAUUGCAGUUGAAACUGGAAGACUUGAGUACAGUAGAGGUGGGCGGAAUUCGUGGUGUAGCGGUGAAAUGCUUAGAUAUCACGAAGAACUCCGAUUGCGAAGGCAGCUCACUGGACUGCAACUGACACUGAGGCUCGAAAGUGUGGGUAUCAAACAGGAUUAGAUACCCUUGUAGUC